GACGAACGCUGGCGGCGUGCUUAACACAUGCAAGUCGAACGGAAAGGCCCUGCUUUUGUGGGGUGCUCGAGUGGCGAACGGGUGAGUAACACGUGAGUAACCUGCCUUUGACUUUGGGAUAACUUCAGGAAACUGGGGCUAAUACCGGAUAGGAGCUCCUGCUGCAUGGUGGGGGUUGGAAAGUUUCGGCGGUUGGGGAUGGACUCGCGGCUUAUCAGCUUGUUGGUGGGGUAGUGGCUUACCAAGGCUUUGACGGGUAGCCGGCCUGAGAGGGUGACCGGCCACAUUGGGACUGAGAUACGGCCCAGACUCCUACGGGAGGCAGCAGUGGGGAAUAUUGCACAAUGGGCGGAAGCCUGAUGCAGCAACGCCGCGUGCGGGAUGACGGCCUUCGGGUUGUAAACCGCUUUCGCCUGUGGCGAAGCGUGAGUGACGGUAAUGGGUAAAGAAGCACCGGCUAACUACGUG
Molecule: ribosomal RNA, 468 nt
Filed under: uncultured bacterium
Lineage: Bacteria
Description: partial 16S ribosomal RNA
Rfam family: Bacterial small subunit ribosomal RNA
Source: RNAcentral